This 464-nucleotide ribosomal RNA is filed under the name Vreelandella stevensii. RNAcentral's name for it is "partial 16S ribosomal RNA". It matches the Rfam family "Bacterial small subunit ribosomal RNA", at positions 338 to 795 of the family's 1533-position model. Lineage: Bacteria; Pseudomonadati; Pseudomonadota; Gammaproteobacteria; Oceanospirillales; Halomonadaceae. The record is from RNAcentral.
CCUACGGGGGGCAGCAGUGGGGAAUAUUGGACAAUGGGGCAACCCUGAUCCAGCCAUGCCGCGUGUGUGAAGAAGGCCCUCGGGUUGUAAAGCACUUUCAGUGAGGAAGAACGCCUGGUGGUUAAUACCCAUCAGGAAAGACAUCACUCACAGAAGAAGCACCGGCUAACUCCGUGCCAGCAGCCGCGGUAAUACGGAGGGUGCGAGCGUUACUCGGAAUUACUGGGCGUAAAGCGCGCGUAGGUGGCUUGAUAAGCCGGUUGUGAAAGCCCCGGGCUCAACCUGGGAACGGCAUCCGGAACUGUCAAGCUAGAGUGCAGGAGAGGAAGGUAGAAUUCCCGGUGUAGCGGUGAAAUGCGUAGAGAUCGGGAGGAAUACCAGUGGCGAAGGCGGCCUUCUGGACUGACACUGACACUGAGGUGCGAAAGCGUGGGUAGCAAACAGGAUUAGAUACCCCAGUAGUC